Molecule: non-coding RNA, 18 nt
Filed under: Arabidopsis thaliana (thale cress)
Lineage: Eukaryota; Viridiplantae; Streptophyta; Magnoliopsida; Brassicales; Brassicaceae
Source: RNAcentral
AUCCUGAUGAUGCUGCAG